GAUGAACGCUGGCGGCGUGCCUAAUACAUGCAAGUCGAACGGGGACUAGCAAUACUCUUAGUGGCGAACGGGUGAGUAACGCGUUGGUACCUGCCCCGAAGCGGGGGAUAACGGACCGAAAGGUCCGCUAAUACCCCAUGUGCUCGGUAACGAGUAAAGGUGAAAACCACUUUGGGAGGGGCCUGCGUCCCAUCAGCUAGUUGGUAAGGUAACGGCUUACCAAGGCGAUGACGGGUAGGGGACCUGAGAGGGUGGCCCCCCACAAUGGAACUGAAACACGGUCCAUACACCUACGGGUGGCAGCAGUAGGGAAUAUUGGUAAUGGGCGCAAGCCUGAACCAGCAACGCCGCGUGUGCGAUGACGGCCUUCGGGUUGUAAAGCACUUUUGACUGGGACGAGGAAGGACGGUACCGGUCGAAUCAGCCUCGGCUAACUACGUG
RNAcentral lists this ribosomal RNA (441 nucleotides) under uncultured bacterium. RNAcentral describes it as "partial 16S ribosomal RNA". It matches the Rfam family "Bacterial small subunit ribosomal RNA", at positions 28 to 507 of the family's 1533-position model. The record is from RNAcentral.